RNAcentral lists this ribosomal RNA (253 nucleotides) under uncultured bacterium. RNAcentral's name for it is "partial 16S ribosomal RNA". It matches the Rfam family "Bacterial small subunit ribosomal RNA", at positions 524 to 776 of the family's 1533-position model. The record is from RNAcentral.
UACGGAGGGUGCGAGCGUUGUCCGGAAUCACUGGGCGUAAAGGGCGCGUAGGCGGCCUGAUAAGUAGGGGGUGAAAUCCUGAGGCCUAACCUCAGGGCUGCCUUCUAAACUGUCAGGCUCGAGCACAGUAGAGGCAGGUGGAAUUCCCGGUGUAGCGGUGGAAUGCGUAGAGAUCGGGAAGAACACCAGUGGCGAAGGCGAGUCCCCGGAAAAUACCUGACACUGAGGCACGAAAGCUAGGGGAGCAAACAGG